GGAAUUUCACAUGGAACCUUUACUAAGGAAUCGUUCCUCCUUUGGUGCUCUUUUCAAGCUUGUAAAUGGUAUCAGCUCUGCAGAAGAUAAGCCGUGUGUGGAUGUGCCAUAUGCUAACUUUUGGUUUUCCAUCCAGUGACGGAAGGAUACUUUAGUUUUCCUUAUCACUUGCUGGUGAAGACUGUAUUUUUAAAUGGAUACUAUACAAACUAAGUCAUCACAGAAAAAGAAAGAGGCGAUACCAAGAAAGGCUUCAACAGAGCCCUUCUCUCUGCCCACAGGCAAAAGACUCCGUAAGACUAUGUGAUUUGGAUACAUCCAAGGGAUAUUCUCGUUGAAAGGUCAGCUGUGGUAUGUAGCAUCUACCUGCAUUAAUACACUGGGCCUGGGGGUGGAGAGAUGGCUCAGCUGUCAAGAACACUGGCUGUUCUUCAAAGCACUGGCCAGAAGAUCUAGAGGACCACAAGUCCCAGCACCUACAUGGCAGAUCUCAUCUGUUUGUAACUCUAGGCUCAGGGGAAUCAGAUGCCUUCUUCCGGCAUCCACAGGCACCAGGAAUACAUGUGCUGUAUAGACUUGCAUACAUGCAUGCAAAACAUACAUAUGUAGAAAAUAAUAAAUACUUCACCGGGCCUUUGUUUAGAUUUAAAUGUAAUAAUAUACCACGUAUUUAAUUUAUUUACACAAACAUAUUUUUGGAGAGCUACAGAAUUUCACACACUGGAGGAUGCUGAAGGAAUAGUAAAAUCUAAAUUACUGCUUUUACAAUGAAUGCAUUUCUAUUGGUUGAAAAUAAAUAAUGUUGGAUAAAAAAAUCAUCUUCUUUUUCACUUGUUCUGUUGAGUUAAAAAUAAAAAUAGAGUCCCCUUAAAAAGAUCCUGAACAUCCACGAGGGAGGAAACCCAAGCAUGACAGUGGGGCCAAUACACAAGCUAAGACACACACAUUGCCUCCUGUGUUUCCACUUAACUGCUCCUUGCUCUACACCACACAGCCUUUCCUGGAAGAGUUGUCAGAACAGGAUAUGAUUUGCUGAUAUUCUUCUACCAGAGAGGAAGCUUGCAUAAUUAGACCUUCACCCUCUGAACCUAAUCGAACAUGAAGCACAGCCCAUAGGAUUAAAGGGAGGGGAAACUGGUAGGGAGA
Molecule: small RNA, 1146 nt
Filed under: Rattus norvegicus (Norway rat)
Lineage: Eukaryota; Metazoa; Chordata; Mammalia; Rodentia; Muridae
Description: uncharacterized LOC102552523
Source: RNAcentral